CUAACCAGGAUUCUCCUAGUAACGGCGAGUGAACGGAGAUUAGCCCAUCACCGAAGUCUAUUCACGUAUGUGGACAAGACAAUGUGGUGUUCGUGUAUGUACCUGGGAGCGCUUGCCUACUCGAAGUCCAACUCCGAUUAUGGCUAGGACUAUGCCCAGAGCGGGUGAAAGGCCCGUUCGGGUAGGUUUUUUGCAUUAUAGAAGCGCUCCUCAGAUGUGCAUAUUAUCGAGUCGGAUUGCUUGAGAAUGCAGUCCAAAGUGGGUGGUAAACUCCAUCCAAGGCUAAAUACUGGCACGAGUCCGAUAGUAGACAAGUACCGUGAGGGAAAGUUGAAAAGUACUCUGAAGAGAGAGUAAAUAGCACGUGAAGCCGCUUGCAGGGAAGCUGGUGGAGUCAAGCUUCAUGUUCAGAGGAUUGUCGGCAGGACUGUCGUUGUUGUAUGGGACGUGACAUUGAUGAGCCUGGAAAGGGUUUGGCGUGCUUCGGUUCGUUUCAAGUCAUUCUGGGCAGAGUGUUUGAGUCUUUGUCUAUCUCCCUGGUCCUGCCGCUUUAUUCUCUGUGACAUACAUCACGGUCAAUAAUGGUUCGUACUGUGUGAUCGCUUAACUGUACAUUGGCGGACAUUCGUGUCUGCCAGGUGCGGAAUGGCAGGUGGUUUGUGCGGGCCUCGUGCUCGUAACUAACUUAUGUUGAUUUUGAUCUGCUAGCGUUCAUGUUUCACAUUUAACAGUAUCGGCCUUAUUGCUCAUAUGCGGUGUUCACUCCUAGGAGUGGACUCCAUGAGAACCGUGAUGCUGA
Molecule: ribosomal RNA, 799 nt
Filed under: Dactylogyrus bicornis
Lineage: Eukaryota; Metazoa; Platyhelminthes; Monogenea; Dactylogyridea; Dactylogyridae
Description: eukaryotic LSU rRNA
Rfam family: Eukaryotic large subunit ribosomal RNA
Source: RNAcentral